RNAcentral lists this ribosomal RNA (182 nucleotides) under Atheta sp. 5 BT-2011. RNAcentral's name for it is "partial 28S ribosomal RNA". It matches the Rfam family "Eukaryotic large subunit ribosomal RNA", at positions 663 to 817 of the family's 3401-position model. Lineage: Eukaryota; Metazoa; Arthropoda; Insecta; Coleoptera; Staphylinidae. The record is from RNAcentral.
GGACCAAGGAGUCUAGCAUGUGCGCAAGUCAUUGGGACUAUCGAAUCCUAAAGGCGAAAUGAAAGUGAAGGCAAAGUUAACUUUGCUGAGGGAAGAUGGGCAACUUCGGUUGCCUCGCAUUCCCGGGGCGUCUCAUUCUCAUUGCGAGAAGAGGCGCACCUAGAGCGUACACGCUGGGACCC